ACGCGAGUGACGCAUAAUAUGUGGGCCGCUCUGGAGCCGUGGUCGCACUGUGUGUGAGUGAGGGAGAGUGAGUGCGGGACCUGAGGCUGUGUGUGUGAACUGUGGCCACUGGCGGGGUCAGGGGGGUGCGGCGGAGCCGCCUGGGAAGAUAAGGAAAUUGAGAUUUGGAGAAGUUAAAUAACUUGACCAAGAUCUCACAGAGGCCAAGCCAUGUCUACAGUAGCGGUACAUGUGGACUCCAAAGCUGAGCUCACUACCCUGCUGGAGCAGUGGGAAAAGGAACAUGGCAGUGGGCAGGACAUGGUACCUAUCCUUACCAGGAUGUCUGAAUUGAUUGAAAAAGAAACUGAAGAAUAUCGUAAGGGGGAUCCAGACCCAUUUGAUGAUCGACAUCCUGGUCGAGCUGAUCCAGAGUGUAUGCUGGGCCACUUGCUGAGAAUACUCUUCAAGAAUGAUGAUUUCAUGAAUGCACUGGUGAAUGCAUAUGUGAUGACAAGCCGAGAGCCCCCUUUAAACACUGCAGCUUGCAGACUCCUACUGGACAUCAUGCCAGGCCUGGAAACUGCUGUUGUCUUUCAAGAAAAGGAAGGAAUUGUGGAGAAUCUUUUCAAAUGGGCCCGAGAGGCUGAUCAGCCAUUGAGGACGUAUUCUACUGGUCUGUUAGGAGGUGCUAUGGAAAAUCAAGACAUUGCUGCUAACUAUAGGGAUGAAAAUUCACAGCUGGUGGCAAUAGUGCUUCGAAGACUGAGGGAGCUGCAGCUUCAGGAAGUGGCUUUGAGGCAAGAAAGCAAGCGUCCUAGCCCACGCAAGCUCUCCUCUGAACCCCUUUUGCCUCUGGAUGAAGAAGCUGUGGAUAUGGACUAUGGUGACAUGGCUGUAGAUGUAGUGGAUGGUGAACAAGAGGAAGCCUCUGGAGAUAUGGAGAUCUCCUUUCAUCUUGAUUCAGGCCACAAGACCAGUAGCAGAGUGAACUCAGCAACCAAACCUGAGGAAGGAGGAUUGCGGAAAAACAAGUCAGCAAAACAGGGUGACAGAGAGAGUUUUAGGAAAGCCAAGCAAAAGUUAGGUUUCUCAUCAUCCGAUCCAGAUCGCAUGUUUAUUGAGCUGUCUAAUAGCAGCUGGUCAGAAAUGUCCCCUUGGGUGAUUGGCACCAAUUAUACCCUUUAUCCUAUGACUCCUGCUAUUGAGCAGCGACUUAUUCUCCAGUAUUUGACCCCCUUAGGAGAAUAUCAGGAGUUACUUCCCAUAUUUAUGCAACUUGGAUCACGAGAGUUGAUGAUGUUCUAUAUCGAUUUGAAACAGACUAAUGAUGUCCUGCUUACAUUUGAAGCACUCAAGCAUCUAGCAUCUCUCCUGCUCCAUAACAAGUUUGCUACAGAAUUUGUUGCGCAUGGUGGAGUACAGAAAUUACUGGAAAUUCCUCGUCCUUCUAUGGCUGCAACUGGUGUGUCCAUGUGCUUGUACUACCUGUCCUACAACCAGGAUGCCAUGGAAAGAGUUUGCAUGCAUCCCCACAAUGUUCUGUCUGAUGUGGUGAACUAUACCUUGUGGUUAAUGGAAUGUUCUCAUGCCUCAGGAUGCUGCCAUGCUACCAUGUUUUUCUCAAUCUGCUUCUCCUUUCGGGCUGUGUUGGAACUCUUUGACCGCUAUGAUGGUCUCCGUCGUCUCGUGAACUUGAUCAGUACUUUGGAGAUUCUAAAUUUGGAAGAUCAGGGUGCACUUCUGAGUGAUGAUGAAAUAUUUGCUAGCCGCCAAACUGGGAAACAUACCUGCAUGGCCUUGCGCAAGUACUUUGAGGCUCACCUGGCCAUUAAAUUAGAACAAGUGAAGCAGUCACUUCAGAGGACUGAGGGUGGCAUUCUUGUUCAUCCUCAACCCCCAUACAAGGCAUGUUCGUAUACUCAUGAACAGAUUGUGGAAAUGAUGGAGUUUUUGAUAGAAUAUGGCCCAGCACAGCUGUAUUGGGAACCAGCUGAAGUCUUCCUCAAACUUUCUUGUGUCCAACUCUUACUGCAGCUUAUUUCUAUUGCCUGCAAUUGGAAGACCUAUUAUGCAAGGAAUGACACUGUGCGCUUUGCUUUGGAUGUCCUGGCUAUUCUCACUGUUGUGCCAAAAAUUCAGCUCCAGUUGGCAGAAUCAGUGGAUGUACUGGAUGAGGCUGGUUCCACUGUCUCCACUGUAGGUAUCAGCAUUAUUUUGGGAGUGGCAGAGGGUGAGUUCUUUAUUCAUGAUGCUGAAAUUCAGAAGUCAGCACUUCAAAUUAUCAUCAAUUGUGUAUGUGGUCCGGAUAACAGAAUUUCUAGUAUUGGCAAAUUUAUAUCUGGAACUCCUCGGAGAAAGUUGCCUCAGACUCCCAAAAGCAGCGAGCACACUCUGGCCAAGAUGUGGAAUGUGGUCCAGUCCAACAAUGGCAUCAAGGUGCUUCUGUCCUUACUGUCCAUCAAGAUGCCCAUCACAGAUGCAGACCAGAUCCGGGCCUUGGCCUGCAAGGCCCUAGUGGGCCUGUCUCGCAGUAGCACCGUCCGGCAGAUCAUCAGCAAACUGCCCCUGUUCAGCAGCUGCCAAAUCCAGCAACUGAUGAAAGAGCCUGUGCUGCAGGACAAGCGCAGUGACCAUGUCAAGUUUUGCAAGUAUGCUGCUGAGCUCAUUGAACGGGUGUCAGGAAAACCACUUCUCAUUGGCACCGAUGUGUCCCUGGCACGACUGCAGAAAGCAGAUGUUGUUGCCCAGUCAAGGAUCUCCUUUCCUGAGAAAGAGCUGCUUCUGCUGAUACGCAACCAUCUCAUUUCUAAAGGGCUUGGGGAGACAGCAACCGUGCUGACUAAAGAGGCUGACCUGCCCAUGACUGCUGCCUCCCAUUCUUCUGCCUUUACCCCCGUCACUGCUGCUGCUUCACCUGUUUCCCUUCCCCGUACACCUCGCAUCGCCAAUGGCAUUGCAACUCGACUGGGCAGCCAUGCUGCUGUGGGUGCCUCUGCCCCUUCUGCCCCCCCUGCUCAUCCUCAGCCACGGGCCCCCCAGGGCUCACUAGCUCUGCCUGGCCCAUCUUAUGUAGGCAACUCCCCUUUGAUUGGUAGGAUCAGUUUUAUCAGAGAGAGGCCAUCACCCUGUAAUGGCAGGAAAAUCAGAGUGUUGCGGCAGAAAUCGGACCAUGGCGCCUACAGCCAAAGCCCAGCCAUAAAAAAACAGUUGGACAGACAUCUUCCUUCCCCACCUACGCUGGACAGUAUCAUCACAGAAUAUCUUAGAGAGCAGCAUGCUCGCUGCAAGAACCCAGUUGCCACCUGCCCACCUUUCUCUCUCUUUACUCCUCACCAGUGUCCUGAGCCAAAACAGAGGCGGCAAGCGCCAAUAAACUUUACCUCAAGGCUAAACCGCAGGGCAUCAUUUCCAAAGUAUGGAGGGGUGGAUGGCGGAUGCUUUGAUAGGCACCUUAUCUUUAGCAGGUUCCGUCCUAUUUCAGUGUUCCGGGAAGCCAAUGAGGAUGAGAGUGGCUUCACCUGCUGUGCAUUCUCAGCACGGGAGCGGUUCCUGAUGCUUGGCACCUGCACUGGGCAGUUGAAGCUGUAUAAUGUGUUUAGUGGACAGGAGGAGGCCAGCUAUAACUGUCACAACUCAGCUAUCACACACCUUGAACCUUCCAGGGACGGGUCCUUGCUGCUGACAUCUGCUACUUGGAGCCAGCCUCUUUCUGCACUUUGGGGAAUGAAAUCAGUAUUUGAUAUGAAGCAUUCCUUUACAGAAGAUCACUAUGUUGAGUUCAGUAAGCACUCUCAGGAUCGGGUGAUAGGCACAAAAGGAGACAUUGCCCAUAUUUAUGAUAUUCAGACUGGCAACAAGCUGUUGACUCUGUUUAACCCAGAUCUCGCCAACAACUACAAGAGGAACUGUGCCACCUUUAAUCCUACAGAUGAUCUUGUCUUAAAUGAUGGCGUCCUCUGGGAUGUCCGCUCUGCACAGGCCAUCCACAAGUUUGACAAAUUCAACAUGAACAUCAGUGGUGUUUUCCAUCCGAAUGGGCUGGAGGUCAUCAUUAAUACUGAGAUUUGGGACCUUCGUACUUUUCAUCUUUUACACACAGUUCCUGCUCUGGAUCAGUGUCGGGUGGUAUUUAACCACACGGGGACAGUGAUGUAUGGAGCUAUGUUGCAGGCAGAUGAUGAAGAUGACUUAAUGGAAGAGAGAAUGAAAAGCCCUUUUGGAUCAUCUUUCAGAACAUUUAAUGCAACUGACUACAAACCUAUAGCAACCAUUGAUGUGAAACGGAACAUCUUUGACCUGUGUACAGACACCAAAGACUGCUAUCUUGCUGUCAUUGAGAACCAAGGCAGCAUGGAUUCUCUGAACAUGGACACGGUGUGCAGGCUUUAUGAAGUGGGCAGGCAGCGUCUGGCAGAGGAUGAGGAUGAAGAGGAAGACCAGGAAGAGGAAGAACAGGAAGAAGAAGAUGAUGAUGAAGAUGACGACGACACUGAUGACCUAGAUGAGCUUGACACUGACCAGUUGCUGGAGGCGGAGUUGGAGGAGGAUGACAACAACGAAAACGCAGGGGAGGAUGGGGACAAUGACUUUUCUCCCUCUGAUGAGGAGCUAGCAAACCUGCUAGAGGAGGGAGAGGACGGGGAGGAUGAAGACUCCGAUGCAGAUGAGGAAGUGGAACUGAUCCUGGGGGACAGUAAGUCUAGGGCUGACCAUGGGGCUAAACCUUGGUACCCAGGGAAAGGUUCCUUCCCUGUGCUAGCCUAGCCCAGAGGACAAGCCACACCAGGGUUCUGACUCCUCGAGGAAAAGCAGUUUCAUAUUUCUGAUCCUGUGCACACUUUCAUGACGACUAGAUAACCAAGUGGCUGUUAUCUCUUUAAAGGAGGUUGGCAGACUUCCAUAAGGGCUGGACUAUAAGUAAUUUUGGCUUUGUGGGCCAUAUGGUCUCUCUUGCAUCUACUCAGCUCUGCUGUUGUAGUGUGUGAGCAGCCAGAGACAAGAUAUAAAUGAUGUGGCUGUGUUCAAAUACAACUUUAUUUACAAAAAUAGGUAGUGGGGCUUGGUUUGGCCCAUGGGCUGUAUGUAGUUUGUUGACCCCAGCUUCAGAGGAUUAACCUUCGAAUGGAAGGGCAAAGUGUAGUUCUCCGGAGAGGCAGGCUGGCAUCGUUGGAUGCAGCUGCUCAUGGAGGUGCUGUACCUGCUCCUUUCUAAGUUAUAAAGAAAUAAAAGCCCUUUUGUGGGUUGGAGCCCUUUUGCAUUUGCUUUUGCCUAGUCCUUAAAGACCCGGGGACAAAUCUUUCUCCUUCUGUUGUGUAAACUGCACCCCCCCUUUUUUUCUUCCUUUUUCUUUUCCUGAAGAACAAGUUCCAGUUUUUCUGGUACUUUCCCAGUAGUACAGUUUUUGAAGUCCAUCAUCCCCUGCUUAUACUGAUGGAUCCUGAGUAAAUCAGAUAAUGGUUCUAAGAGACAGUGAGCUCUGCAGCUGUACUGUGCAUGUUUUAAGAGGACAUAUUGGGCAGCAUCACUGUCACACCUGUCACUGUUGACAGACUCAUGCUUACUCUGGCCCUGGUUCUUCCUAGUGCUGCCCUGCCUGACUGGGGAGCAAUCCCUGUGAUAUCCAGCCAUUUUUCAUGUAUUUAAUAACCUGGCCAGCAUUCUCACAGCCGUGGUAGGUAUUAUGCCUAAUAGUGUAGCCAGUGUGGCCAUUAAAAUUUUAAUUAAAAAUUCACUUCAUUUUCAUGUCCACACUUCAAGUGCACUACUACCACAUUGAAUAGCACAGAUAUAGAGCAUUUACAUUGUUACAGAAAUGUCUGUUGUGCCUAGGCCCAACAAAUGCCAAGCCUCUUCAGAGUAGAUGCCUGGUUUUCAUAACCACUGGUGUUGGUGGUAGGGAACAGCAGUGGGGUGGGAAGAGGGAGUGUGUUGUGUGGUAGGAGAGGGGAGGGGAGGUGGCGGCAGAUAUUAAAGCAUAUGGGGUGAAAGAUUUCUCCUGUUCCAGUGACAUGAAACCAUUUUCUUUGGGAUAAAUCUCAUACAUGCUUCUAGCCCUCAAGAUUGAAGGCAGUUUGGCUUAGGGGAGACUGUCCUUCUUUCGUAAGGCCUCUUGCCACAGUUGUAUUUUGAGGAAGCUCUGUGGGGCUGGGAGGGAGUGCCUCAUGUCUGCCCAUCUGCUGUUUGCCAACUUCCAUUUUUUUGUACUUGGAGGUUGAGGUGAUUCAGUGAAGGAGGACUGGCCUUGUCCCUGGCCAUGGUCAGAGAGCCAGCUGACACCUCUGACAACUCUGAUCUGGAAGAUGACAUCAUCUUAUCUCUAAACGAGUGAGGAGCCACAUGGAAGAGAUUCUUAGCAGGCGAGAAAAUAAGUCAAAUGAAUUCAGAACAUCUUCCCUUCCCUUUCUCCCAGGGCUCUUAUAAGGAACUGCAUGCCCUGCUUUCAGAGGAUUAUGGCUUAGAGAGUCUCACUGGAAUCUGAAGGUCCUUCUAAAAACAAUAACAACCACAAAAAAAAAGACAACAGGGGUUAGGCCCUAUUCUGCUUCCCCUUUCUCCUAGGAUGGACAUAUCUUUCCUCAAGGGAAAAAAACAAAACAAAACAUGUCUCUGGGGUUAUUUCACAAUAUAUUUUCUUUGUAUAAUGUUCUUUACUUAAAGAACAAGAAAUAGUUUUUUAUAAAACUUAAAAAGAAAAAAAAAAGGCAUUUAUAACUGAGGGUAUGAACUUAUAUCCACCAGGUCUCUUGUCCCGGCACUUCAUUUUCUAUGGAAGAAAAUGAUGUCUAAAGAACAAUAUAGAGGCAUUUUUACAUACGUAUUUAAAUGAAAAGGAAAAUCGUGGUUUCUUAAAUUGAUAAGGAUUAAGAAUAUUUUAUUAUAAAUAUAAUAUAUGAUUUUUUAACCCAUUUUGUUGCCUCAUAUGCUGUCAAGUUAAUUUGUUUUCCUUCAUGCCAGAGGUGGGGGGAGGAAGACACUGCUUGUUUGCUGAGUAAAUGCCUAGGUUCACCCACCUUCAUGGUUUGGGGGCAGCAAGGUCAUUGUGGAUAUUGGUUUUGUGGAGUUGAGGGAACUUAGGAUAUAAGUUCACUCCCUCUAUUUUUCUUUGUGAUUCAGUUUUUCAAAAAUCUGUUUUUCUUCCCUUUCUCCCCAAUGUGGAAAUUACAAAUCAAAGGCCUUUUUCUUUAAUGUAAAGUGUAUUUAUUUAAAAAAAAUACAAAAUAAACUACAAGUCUGUCUUCGUUUGUU
This is a non-coding RNA of Sus scrofa (pig), 7227 nucleotides long. NCBI's taxonomy places the organism in Eukaryota, Metazoa, Chordata, Mammalia, Artiodactyla, Suidae. The record is from RefSeq and is a predicted model, not a curated record.